Molecule: small RNA, 545 nt
Filed under: Pongo abelii (Sumatran orangutan)
Lineage: Eukaryota; Metazoa; Chordata; Mammalia; Primates; Hominidae
Description: retained intron
Source: RNAcentral
GCUCCGCAGUCCACAAACCUCUUUCUUUGCAGCAGCUGCCUGCCCGCUCUGUUUCCUCAGCCCUCCCAGCCUGGGACUCAGCUCUUCUUUCAUGCCCAGCUCAGGUCUCUGACUGGCUUUGGGUUGACUCUAGCCUUUGUCUCCCUUCUCUGGAUGGGGAUAAGCAGAGCCAGGGGGCCUCAUUCCAGGCAGUUGGGUUGGGGGGUUGGGGGCAGGCAAAGCUCUCUCCAUUUCCAAGGACCACCUAUCCUGAAGCAAGAGGAUAGGAAGCCCCAACCUGAGGCCAUCCUGUCCCAGGCCCGGAUCAUGAACAUGGAGGCGGGGACGCUGGCAGAGCUGAACACACCCGGGGAGCUGUGCAUCCGAGGGUACUGCGUCAUGCUGGGCUACUGGGGCGAGCCUCAGAAGACGGAGGAAGCAGUGGAUCAGGACAAGUGGUAUCGGACAGGAGAUGUCGCCACAAUGAACGAGCAGGGCUUCUGCAAGAUCGUGGGCCGCUCUAAGGAUAUGAUCAUCCGGGGUGGUGAGAACAUCUACCCCGCAGA